RNAcentral lists this ribosomal RNA (253 nucleotides) under uncultured bacterium. Its description in RNAcentral is "partial 16S ribosomal RNA". It matches the Rfam family "Bacterial small subunit ribosomal RNA", at positions 524 to 776 of the family's 1533-position model. The record is from RNAcentral.
UACGUAGGGUGCGAGCGUUGUCCGGAAUUACUGGGCGUAAAGAGCUCGUAGGUGGUUUGUCGCGUUGUUCGUGAAAUCCCGUGGCUUAACUGCGGGCGUGCGGGCGAUACGGGCAGACUGGAGUACUGCAGGGGAGACUGGAAUUCCUGGUGUAGCGGUGGAAUGCGCAGAUAUCAGGAGGAACACCGGUGGCGAAGGCGGGUCUCUGGGCAGUAACUGACGCUGAGGAGCGAAAGCGUGGGGAGCGAACAGG